RNAcentral lists this ribosomal RNA (253 nucleotides) under uncultured bacterium. RNAcentral's name for it is "partial 16S ribosomal RNA". It matches the Rfam family "Bacterial small subunit ribosomal RNA", at positions 524 to 776 of the family's 1533-position model. The record is from RNAcentral.
CACGUAGGGGGCGAGCGUUGUUCGGAAUUACUGGGCGUAAAGGGCAUGCAGGCGGUCUUGUAAGCCUGACGUGAAAGGCUAUGGCUCAACCAUGGCACUGCGUUGGGAACUGCGAGACUAGAAUCAUGGAGAGGGAGCUGGAAUUCCAGGUGUAGGGGUGAAAUCUGUAGAUAUCUGGAAGAACACCAGUGGCGAAGGCGAGCUCCUGGCCAAUGAUUGACGCUGAGGUGCGAAAGUGUGGGGAUCAAACUGG